Molecule: ribosomal RNA, 420 nt
Filed under: uncultured bacterium
Lineage: Bacteria
Description: bacterial SSU rRNA
Rfam family: Bacterial small subunit ribosomal RNA
Source: RNAcentral
UGGGGAAUAUUGCGCAAUGGGCGAAAGCCUGACGCAGCGACGCCGCGUGGGGGAUGAAGCAUUUCGGUGUGUAAACCCCUGUUGCUCGGGACGAAAAAGCGAUUUUGAUCGCUCUGACGGUACCGAGUGAGGAAGCACCGGCUAACUCCGUGCCAGCAGCCGCGGUAAUACGGAGGGUGCGAGCGUUGUCCGGAAUCACUGGGCGUAAAGGGCGCGUAGGCGGUCUGCUAAGCGUGCGGUGAAAGCCUGGGGCUCAACCCCAGGUCUGCCGUGCGAACUGGUGGACUUGAGCACUGUAGAGGCAGGUGGAAUUCCGGGUGUAGCGGUGGAAUGCGUAGAGAUCCGGAAGAACACCAGUGGCGAAGGCGGCCUGCUGGACAGUUGCUGACGCUGAGGCGCGACAGCGUGGGGAGCAAACAG